GUGGAUUAGUGGCGAACGGGUGAGUAACACGUGAGUAACCUGCCCUUGACUCUGGGAUAAGCCUGGGAAACUGGGUCUAAUACCGGAUAUGACUCCUCAUCGCAUGGUGGGGGGUGGAAAGCUUUUUGUGGUUUUGGAUGGACUCGCGGCCUAUCAGCUUGUUGGUGAGGUAAUGGCUUACCAAGGCGACGACGGGUAGCCGGCCUGAGAGGGUGACCGGCCACACUGGGACUGAGACACGGCCCAGACUCCUACGGGAGGCAGCAGUGGGGAAUAUUGCACAAUGGGCGCAAGCCUGAUGCAGCGACGCCGCGUGAGGGAUGACGGCCUUCGGGUUGUAAACCUCUUUCAGUAGGGAAGAAGCCUUUCGGGGUGACGGUACCUGCAGAAGAAGCGCCGGCUAACUACGUGCCAGCAGCCGCGGUAAUACGUAGGGCGCAAGCGUUAUCCGGAAUUAUUGGGCGUAAAGAGCUCGUAGGCGGUUUGUCGCGUCUGCCGUGAAAGUCCGGGGCUCAACUCCGGAUCUGCGGUGGGUACGGGCAGACUAGAGUGAUGUAGGGGAGACUGGAAUUCCUGGUGUAGCGGUGAAAUGCGCAGAUAUCAGGAGGAACACCGAUGGCGAAGGCAGGUCUCUGGGCAUUAACUGACGCUGAGGAGCGAAAGCAUGGGGAGCGAACAGGAUUAGAUACCCUGGUAGUCCAUGCCGUAAACGUUGGGCACUAGGUGUGGGGGACAUUCCACG
This 742-nucleotide ribosomal RNA is filed under the name Pseudarthrobacter sp. Its description in RNAcentral is "bacterial SSU rRNA". It matches the Rfam family "Bacterial small subunit ribosomal RNA", at positions 87 to 845 of the family's 1533-position model. Lineage: Bacteria; Bacillati; Actinomycetota; Actinomycetes; Micrococcales; Micrococcaceae. The record is from RNAcentral.